This 536-nucleotide long non-coding RNA is filed under the name Struthio camelus australis. Its description in RNAcentral is "lncRNA (ENSSCUG00000006491.1)". The record is from RNAcentral. Lineage: Eukaryota; Metazoa; Chordata; Aves; Struthioniformes; Struthionidae.
CUAGCCCUCUGCCACCCCUCCUGGCUCCAUCAGCCCCCGUCUCCCCUGGAAGGAUGGGGCUGCAUGGCCUGCCUUCCCCGCACUCCCUCACUUCCCUCUGGAUCCCAGCAACAAGUUUAAUUGGAAAAAACCAAGGCUGACUUGGAGGCAAGGCAAGGAGGCAGGGAGAGCCUGUACCAACUGACACUAUGAUCGAUUACCUGGAACUUCACCUGACACUGAAAUUAGGGUUUUUUAAUGAUAGGCUGACUCUCCCUGGAUGUGAAAUUCAAAUGAUCUCCAAAGCUUCCCUGCGACCAUCGCUUGCUGAAUGCAGUGGUACACGCCACAUGCAGAUCGUCGUCAUGGUGUAAACAAACAAGCUAAACUCUAUGAGAUUUACAGUGCCCAGCUUCGGUGGCUUCCAGUGCGGCGCAGUGAGAUAUUUCUGUACAGGCAGGCUAAGCACUUUCCAUUUUAUACCUCAGCGGCUUUAUAGCAUCUUAAGGAUUUCUGUGCAUGCCUGGCUUCACUCAGAGGGAAAAAAAUCAAGCUUG